Long non-coding RNA from Pangasianodon hypophthalmus (striped catfish), 474 nucleotides. RefSeq lists it as uncharacterized. The transcript has 3 exons. Lineage: Eukaryota; Metazoa; Chordata; Actinopteri; Siluriformes; Pangasiidae. The record is from RefSeq and is a predicted model, not a curated record.
UUCACGAGGACUCAGAGGAGGGAUUUCAUCUGCAAACCUCUGUUUCUCAGCAACUCAUUCAACAGUCUCAAAAAAAGUUUCUUUCUUUACUUAUUGACUUACAGAACCUCAGUGUUUAUUGCUUCUUUCAUUUAUUUCUGUUUGUCAUUUUAUAUCUAUAUAUAUUAAAAUCUAACAUUAGCCUGGAAGCGUAUAGGCUACAUACACUGAGGAACAUGAAGGACUUAACAGAGAGAAAGAUGAAAACUUCAAAAUAUUCUACACCUCGGUUGUUGAUGUCCUUGUUUAUACUGUAUGUUGAAGCCCAAGAUAAAUUUCCACUUUCUGGUCAAUAAAAGAUUUUCUCCCAGAACUCCUGACCGUACUGAGAGAGUGAUGAAGAGUGAUGAAGAUCUCGGGCAGGGAGACACACAGUGGCUGCAGAGCGCCGGUGCACUUCCCGCGACCGCCUGCAGGGGGCAGCACACACCCACU